AGGCAGCAGUGGGGAAUUUUGGACAAUGGGCGCAAGCCUGAUCCAGCAAUGCCGCGUGCAGGAUGAAGGCCUUCGGGUUGUAAACUGCUUUUAUCUGGGAAGAAACCUUUGGAUUUAUCCGAAGCUGACGGUACCAGAGGAAUAAGCACCGGCUAACUCCGUGCCAGCAGCCGCGGUAAUACGGAGGGUGCAAGCGUUAUCCGGAUUUACUGGGUUUAAAGGGUGCGCAGGCGGACUGUUAAGUCAGUGGUGAAAGCCCCGGGCUCAACCUGGGAAUUGCCAUUGAUACUGGCGGUCUUGAGUAUAGUUGAGGUAGGCGGAAUGCAACAUGUAGCGGUGAAAUGCUUAGAUAUGUUGCAGAACACCGAUUGCGAAGGCAGCUUGCUAAACUAUUACUGACGCUCAGGCACGAAAGCGUGGGGAUCAAACAGGAUUAGAUACCCUGGUAG
Molecule: ribosomal RNA, 449 nt
Filed under: uncultured bacterium
Lineage: Bacteria
Description: bacterial SSU rRNA
Rfam family: Bacterial small subunit ribosomal RNA
Source: RNAcentral